GUGCAUACCUGUAGUCCCAGCUACUCGGGAGGCUGAGGCGGGAGAAUUGCUUGAACCCAGGAGGCGGAGGUUGCAGUUAGCCAAGAUCGCGCCACUGCACUCCAGCCUGGGUGACAGAGCGAGACUCCCUCUAAAAAAAAAAAAAGAAAGAAAGAAAGAAAGUGGCAGAUGGUCUCUCUCUCUCCUGGAGCUGAGACACUCUUCUGCCCUGGGACAUGAGAACUCCUGGUUUUCCAACCUCUGCCUCCAGGAUCUCAGCCUCCGUCCCAGCCUCAUCUAUCUAUCUAUCUAUCUAUCUAUCUAUCUAUCUAUCUAUCCACCUAUCUAUCUAUAUUUUUUUAAGCCAGGUGGGGUAAGCCACUGCUCAUGCCUGUGAUCUCAGCAUUUUGGGAGGCCAAAGCAGAAAGAUUGCUUGAGGCCAAGAAUUCAGGACCAACCUUGGCAUGGUGAAACCCCAUCUAUACAAAAAAUUUUAAAAUUAGCCAGGCAUGGUGGCAUGCGCCUGCAGUCCCAUCUCCUCAGGAGGCUGAAGCAGGAAGAUCGCUUGAGCCCAGGAGUUGGAGGCUACAAUGAGCUAUGAUGGCACCACCGCACUCCAGCCUAGGCGACAGAGUGAGACCCUCUCUUAAAAAAAAAAAAAAAGACAAGGGCCAGGUACGGUGGCUCACGCCUGUUAAUCCCAGCACUUUGGGAGGCCAAAGCAAGUGGAUCACCUGAGGUCAGGAGUUCCAGACCAGCCUGGCCAACAUGGUGAAACCCCAUCUCUAUUAAAAAUAAAACAAAUGAGCAGGGGGUGGUGGUACACGCUUGUAAUCCGAGCUACUCGGGAGGCUGAGCCAUGAGAAUCACUUGAACCCGGGAGGCAGAGGCUGCAGUGAGCCGAGAUUGUGCCACUGUACUCCGGCCUGGGUGACAGAGCAAGACUCUGUCUGAAAAAGGAAAAGAGAAGAAGAAAGAAGAAAGAAGAAGAAGAGGAGGAAGAGGAGGAGGAGGAGAAGGAAGAGGAGGAGGAGGGAAAUGAAACAGAAGAAAUGACUUUUUAGGCAUUGGUGCAUAGUCAGGAGGAGUCCCAUUCUUGAAGCCUUGUUUCUGCCGCGUGUCUGGCAUCUACAUUUGCGUGUCCCAGCUGGGAUGCUGUGCGUCACAAGUCACAAAACAAGCGAGACCUCGGAUAGGAGCAAUGAAUGCCUCCUAUCCCCUCCUGCCGAUGAGGGAAACUGAGGCUCAUGGGCUGGGGACCUUCCCAAGGUCACAGGGCCUAUGGGGGCAGGACUGUCCUGGAGCCCAGCUGGGCUCUGGGCUGAUUUCCCGACACAGAACUCCUGCUCUGGUGAUUUCUCGGACCUCCAGAAGAUGGAAGUCAAACAGAAGUAGUAAGCAAAGCCAAGCCCUGCAUGCCAUGGCAUCUGCCCUGACCUUGACUUCUAUGGCCCUUGCUCUGACCCCACAGGUCCAGGCCUCGCUGUCCACUGCACCGGGACACACCUGUCCCCAGGUACCAGCGACACCUCUGCCCCAGCCAGGCUCAGACAGCCACUGGUAACCACAGCUCCCAGGAGGCUGGGGCUGGGCCUGUCCAGGGUCCAUGGCCUGCCGCCCUCUUCCUGGCCCCAGCCUGCUGUUGACCUUCGAGCCGACCUUGGCAAUGGAAUCUUUAGGGCCGCAGAGGGGACCCCCGAAGUGAAACUCAAGCCUAGAAAUGGAUUUUCUGUUUCUCCAAGAGCAAAAGAUGUUGAAUAAAAAAUUAGUUACUAUUUUUACUGUCGGGAUCCAGUUGUUAUGGCAACUGAGGGCCUGACUCCUGCUCAGGAGGAGGCGGGGUUGGAGUAUGAUGAGGGAGAAGGCAGGGAUGGGGCUUG
This 1859-nucleotide long non-coding RNA is filed under the name Homo sapiens (human). RNAcentral describes it as "HSALNT0339041". The record is from RNAcentral. Lineage: Eukaryota; Metazoa; Chordata; Mammalia; Primates; Hominidae.